RNAcentral lists this ribosomal RNA (500 nucleotides) under uncultured bacterium. Its description in RNAcentral is "partial 16S ribosomal RNA". It matches the Rfam family "Bacterial small subunit ribosomal RNA", at positions 30 to 523 of the family's 1533-position model. The record is from RNAcentral.
AUUGAACGCUGGCGGCAUGCCUUACACAUGCAAGUCGAACGGCAGCACGGGAGCAAUCCUGGUGGCGAGUGGCGAACGGGUGAGUAAAGUAUCGGAACGUGCCCAGUCGUGGGGGAUAACGUAGCGAAAGGUACGCUAAUACCGCAUACGAUCUAUGGAUGAAAGCGGGGGAUCGCAAGACCUCGCGCGAUUGGAGCGGCCGAUAUCAGAUUAGGUAGUUGGUGGGGUAAAGGGUCACCAAGCCGACGAUCUGUAGCUGGACUGAGAGGACGCCCAGCCACACUGGGACUGAGACACGGCCCAGACUCCUACGGGAGGCAGCAGUGGGGAAUUUUGGACAAUGGGCGCAAGCCUGAUCCGGCCAUGCCGCGUGCAGGAUGAAGGCCUUCGGGUUGUAAACUGCUUUUGUACGGAACGAAAAGGUUUGACUUAAUACGUUGGACUCAUGACGGUACCGUAAGAAUAAGCACCGGCUAACUACGUGCCAGCAGCCGCGGUAA